Molecule: small RNA, 449 nt
Filed under: Arabidopsis thaliana (thale cress)
Lineage: Eukaryota; Viridiplantae; Streptophyta; Magnoliopsida; Brassicales; Brassicaceae
Description: ATSL120370
Source: RNAcentral
AAAUAAAUAAUAAAUAGCAUGGAGAUGUAAUUUUGCUAUGACCAUCAUGUCGCUAUCGCCAUCUUCAUUCUUCGUCUGAUUCAGAUCUCGAACUUUCGGACAAUGCAAAACCUAAUUUAUCCCCAUCAAUACUCCUCACCUUGAAUGUCUUCUUCUCUUCAUAAGUCUUGCUUACCUGCUCCUCCACUUUCUGGAACUCUUCCUCCACGUUAAAUCCGUCCUUCAUGUUGGAAUCUGAUGCAUCCAUGAUCUUGGAAGAGUUUUGCUGCUAAAAAAUUAGAGAGAUCAGUUGCUAAGAAUCGACAAGAGAAAAGACAAAAGAGAAGACAAGAGAGAAGACAAGAGAGAACUCGUGUAUGUAUAGUAUAUAUUUUAAUAACAACAACAAAACAAUAUAUUUUAAUUCAGUAUAACAUAUUUGUUUGUCUUUGUUCACAAUACAUAAGUAU